RNAcentral lists this ribosomal RNA (449 nucleotides) under uncultured bacterium. Its description in RNAcentral is "bacterial SSU rRNA". It matches the Rfam family "Bacterial small subunit ribosomal RNA", at positions 355 to 796 of the family's 1533-position model. The record is from RNAcentral.
UGGGGAAUCUUGGACAAUGGGGGCAACCCUGAUCCAGCGAUGCCGCGUGGGUGAAGAAGGCCUUCGGGUUGUAAAGCCCUUUAGGCUGGGAAGAAGUGUGCGGGACGAAUAGUUCUGUACAUUGACGGUACCAGCAGAAUAAGCACCGGCAAACUCUGUGCCAGCAGCCGCGGUAAUACAGAGGGUGCGAGCGUUAAUCGGAUUUACUGGGCGUAAAGGGCGCGUAGGCGGUUGAAUGAGUGUGAUGUGAAAGCCCCGGGCUUAACCUGGGAAGUGCAUCGCAAACGAUUUAACUGGAGUAGAUGAGAGGGUGGUGGAAUUUCCGGUGUAGCGGUGAAAUGCGUAGAGAUCGGAAGGAACGUCAAUGGCGAAGGCAGCCACCUGGCAUCAUACUGACGCUGAGGCGCGAAAGCGUGGGGAGCGAACAGGAUUAGAUACCCGUGUAGUCC